AGUUGAGUUGAGUUGAGUUGUUAAAAAUUAUGUUUAUGCUAUGUAAGUACUAAUACUUUUUUUUUUAAAAAAAGAAACUUAUUUCUAUGUUUUGAUUCUAGUACUGAAGCACAUUAAGUUGCAGCAAGUGCCACUUGCAAGCACACAACUUUUAAGUAUCAGGCAAGCACAUAGUUCAAUGAAAUAAUCUAACAAAAUUUCCUCGACCUUAGAAUUUAACAAGCUGUCCCUGAUCAAUAUGUAAAAGCAAUAAAAAAGAAGCUUUUCACUGCCAUACAGGUUCAUGUAAACGUUUUGGUUUUGCAAGGUUGGAUGUGUUGAAAGAGACAUAAGUGUUUCUAACUGUCUCUAAAAGUUUUUAGCUUUCUCUUCUGCUUUACAGUGGUAACUUAGCCUGCUGAUGUGAUUGUAACUCUGAAUAUCAUACUAUGCUACAAUAUAAUUAUAAUCUGUGUUGAGGCUUUAGAAAGAAAGAAGGGAGAGAAAGGGAGAGAAUUG
RNAcentral lists this unclassified non-coding RNA (498 nucleotides) under Hevea brasiliensis (rubber tree). The record is from RNAcentral. Lineage: Eukaryota; Viridiplantae; Streptophyta; Magnoliopsida; Malpighiales; Euphorbiaceae.